RNAcentral lists this RNase P RNA (353 nucleotides) under Amylolactobacillus amylophilus DSM 20533 = JCM 1125. Its description in RNAcentral is "Lactobacillus amylophilus DSM 20533 = JCM 1125 Bacterial RNase P class B". It matches the Rfam family "Bacterial RNase P class B". From Rfam's summary of the family: Ribonuclease P (RNase P) is a ubiquitous endoribonuclease, found in archaea, bacteria and eukarya as well as chloroplasts and mitochondria. Lineage: Bacteria; Bacillati; Bacillota; Bacilli; Lactobacillales; Lactobacillaceae. The record is from Rfam by way of RNAcentral.
AAUUUCGGGCAAUCGCGGUCAUUUAGUUGGCUGAGGAAAGUCCACGCUCGCACGAACUGUGAUGUUCGUAGUGUUUGUACUUAGCCCAAUAAGCUAAGGUAUCGUAAGAUAACGGCGGAAAAAGCACUAAGGUUUCGGCUAUGUGUGAAUAUCCUGAAAAGUGCCACAGUGACGGAGCAAUCUGGGAAACCAGGUUGGUGGAACGAGGUAAACCCUGCAAGCGGGCAACCCAAACUUUUGGUAGGGGCGCUUAUGUCUAAGGAAACGAACUAAAGACAUAGACAUUUUUGUAGAUAGAUGAUUGCUGAAGGUAAAUCUCCCAAAUUUACCGGAACAAAACGUGGCUUAUAGAA